CUUAACUCCAGUGCUGCGGGAAGUGCACUCAUGCUCCGUUCCACGACUUUCACACGUUAUUUUCGGACAAAUGUACGUAAAAACGAUCUCUACUGCAAGAUCAACAUAUGAUACGAAUUGACCUUUAACGACUGACAAAUAGACACUUUAAAACAAAAUAACGCGUCAGACAUAAUAUUCUAAUAAAAUUAGUAACAUUGCGUGCUAGAAUAUAGGAAUAGAAAUUCGAAAAGUACCCAAAACUGAAUCCCCACUGUCCACGUGGUCUUGGUCUGCCCUACCCCUAGUGUUUUUUUUUUUUUUAAGUCGGAGGCGCAGAGGAGGGCAGACCUUGCCCGCCGUGCGAAAGCGCGCGAAUGACUGCGUAGAGGAGCGGAUGAGGCUGGUCUCCGCUGCGGAACGGAGCAUGAGUGAGCGUGUUUUCGCACGCAAGAACGGAAGGGCUACACUUCCCGCAGCGCCGGAGCCAAGCGUUAUUCAAACUUCAAAGGUGGUAUUAAUUACGAGUUUAUAAAUUCGUCACGAGGUGGUCAGCUCCUAAUGAUACAAGGGUAUACCUUCGCAAGGAUAAACAAGUUGUGCUACAUAUGGAUGUGCUCCGGCAAGUCAUCGCAGUGCAAGGCUAAAGUACGGAUGAACGCGUUGAAUGAGG
This 652-nucleotide unclassified non-coding RNA is filed under the name Melitaea cinxia (Glanville fritillary). Its description in RNAcentral is "misc RNA ENSMCXG00005019712.1". The record is from RNAcentral. Lineage: Eukaryota; Metazoa; Arthropoda; Insecta; Lepidoptera; Nymphalidae.